AACGAACGCUGGCGGCAGGCUUAACACAUGCAAGUCGAGCGCACCUUCGGGUGAGCGGCGGACGGGUGAGUAACGUGUGGGAACGUGCCCUUCUCUAUGGAAUAGUCUCGGGAAACUGAGGGUAAUACCAUAUACGCCCUACGGGGGAAAGAUUUAUCGGAGAAGGAUCGGCCCGCAUUAGAUUAGAUAGUUGGUGGGGUAAUGGCCUACCAAGUCUACGAUCUAUAGCUGGUUUUAGAGGACGACCAGCCACACUGGGACUGAGACACGGCCCAGACUCCUACGGGAGGCAGCAGUGGGGAAUCUUAGACAAUGGGCGCAAGCCUGAUCUAGCCAUGCCGCGUGUGUGAUGAGGGUCUUAGGAUCGUAAAGCACUUUCGCUGGGGAAGAUAAUGACUGUACCCAGUAAAGAAGUCCCGGCUAACUCCGUGCCAGCAGCCGCGGUAAUACGGAGGGGACUAGCGUUGUUCGGAAUUACUGGGCGUAAAGCGCACGUAGGCGGAUCAGCAAGUUAGGGGUGAAAUCCCGGGGCUCAACCCCGGAACUGCCUUUAAAACUGUUGGUCUAGAGUUCGAGAGAGGUGAGUGGAAUUCCAAGUGUAGAGGUGAAAUUCGUAGAUAUUUGGAGGAACACCAGUGGCGAAGGCGGCUCACUGGCUCGAUACUGACGCUGAGGUGCGAAAGUGUGGGGAGCAAACAGG
Molecule: ribosomal RNA, 700 nt
Filed under: uncultured bacterium
Lineage: Bacteria
Description: bacterial SSU rRNA
Rfam family: Bacterial small subunit ribosomal RNA
Source: RNAcentral